UACGGAGGGUGCAAGCGUUAUCCGGAUUCACUGGGUUUAAAGGGUGCGUAGGCGGGCAGGUAAGUCAGUGGUGAAAUCUCCGGGCUUAACCCGGAAACUGCCGUUGAUACUAUCUGUCUUGAAUAUCGUGGAGGUAAGCGGAAUAUGUCAUGUAGCGGUGAAAUGCUUAGAUAUGACAUAGAACACCCAUUGCGAAGGCAGCUGGCUACACAAAUAUUGACACUGAGGCACGAAAGCGUGGGGAUCAAACAGG
Molecule: ribosomal RNA, 253 nt
Filed under: uncultured bacterium
Lineage: Bacteria
Description: partial 16S ribosomal RNA
Rfam family: Bacterial small subunit ribosomal RNA
Source: RNAcentral